UACGUAGGGUGCGAGCGUUAAUCGGAAUUACUGGGCGUAAAGCGUGCGCAGGCGGUUAUUUAAGUCAGGUGUGAAAGCCCUGGGCUUAACCUAGGAAUUGCGCUUGAGACUGGAUAGCUUGGAGUGCGGCAGAGGGAGGUGGAAUUCCACGUGUAGCGGUGAAAUGCGUAGAGAUGUGGAGGAACACCGAUGGCGAAGGCAGCCUCCUGGGCCAACACUGACGCUCAUGCACGAAAGCGUGGGGAGCAAACAGG
Molecule: ribosomal RNA, 254 nt
Filed under: uncultured bacterium
Lineage: Bacteria
Description: partial 16S ribosomal RNA
Rfam family: Bacterial small subunit ribosomal RNA
Source: RNAcentral